Molecule: unclassified non-coding RNA, 474 nt
Filed under: Hevea brasiliensis (rubber tree)
Lineage: Eukaryota; Viridiplantae; Streptophyta; Magnoliopsida; Malpighiales; Euphorbiaceae
Source: RNAcentral
GUUUGGUAAUGAUUAGGUAGUUGUGAGUUCUAUUAUUGGUGUGCUUUUUCACAGAUUCUCAUAGUACACUAUCUGAUUCUUGGGGAUUUGGUGGGUACUUUUAGUACGAAUUCAGGAAUUGUUAGGAUUUAUCUUCAAUGGUUUUUUGUUUGAGGAUUGGAUUUCUCUACAGUGGCUGAAUCUUUGUUUGGUUUGUUUCCCAUUUCAUUCUUUUAUGGCUUUCUGCUUUAUCCUUAGGUAGUAUUUAUUUGGCAUUAUUAGCAAGCCAUAUUUAUUGGGUGAGGAUUAGUUUUUCUUACUUGUAUACAGAAGAAAUCUUGGGAAAAUGUAAACUUAGUUUGCAGGAAGUUUUGUUUUUGUUUGUUCUUCAAUAUUCUCAAAUAGGGUGUAUUGCACCUCUUUGCAAGUCGCAACUCCACAUAUUGGAGGCUACUGUGGGUGAAUAGUAACUUCUCUUUUGUGGGUGACUUGAAA